Molecule: RNA transcript, 1239 nt
Organism: Salvelinus fontinalis (brook trout)
Lineage: Eukaryota; Metazoa; Chordata; Actinopteri; Salmoniformes; Salmonidae
Gene name: zinc finger CCHC domain-containing protein 3-like
Exons: 2
Source: RefSeq, a predicted model, not a curated record
GGGGGUUUCGUGUGUCCCCCGUCCCCCCUGGGAUUUCCGCGCUAUGUGGGAAUAGGGAUUUAAAAAUAGUAGGAAGUUUUUCGGCAGUACACGGGAGGGUUUUAAUAGUGUUAGGAUUUAUGUUUAUGCACUAUAGCCUGUUAGCAUAUUGUUUGAAGAUGAAUAUUGUUUUGUUACACACACACAAACAAUACAGAUGGGUGUGUGUAAAGACUGACCACAGCUUUUAUGGCCUGUGUUGGUCAGUCUGGAGAGGGGAGGGGUGCAUGUCUCUAGGCCAACCAGGAGGUUAGAAUACUGGACAAUACCAUAUUAGGAACUGUUUCAGUGUAGAAUCUACAGACACAAGACGGAUCUAAUCUACCCAGCAACCAGAUGUGGACAAAGGGAAGCGCCAAGGGGCUUGGACAAAUCCGAGGGCCAGCAAGGGCGGAGCAAAGUCUAAACCGCGCCCAGCCUCUACUGUGAUAGGCCAACAGGCGCGUUGGAACUACGUCAUCAUGGUAUAAGAACAGCUGGUUACGUACUUCCUGCCAGUUCUCCGAUCUACCCUGCGUGGAGAUACUGUGAACUCGUAUAUACGAAAAUUGCAUUUGCUAUUCAUUGUUUGCGGUAAUUAAACAUAAUUAAAGAAAGUUAGCAGACCUUGCUUUUUAUUUAUCCUGACACCGGAUGUGUUACACGCAGCGUUCACAAUAGUAGAUAUCAAUUGGAGGGGUAAAUGUUUUAGAUUUAUUAACGUAUAUGCACCAUCGACACCCAAGGAAAGGAGGGAAAUGCUUAACGACCUAGACGCUGUUUUUAUGACAAACAGACAGGGUUUCUCACACACCCAAAGACAGAUGGCUGGCACAGGAAAGGCCUUGAUCAAGAGUGCUUGGGUCUGCAUUUCACGAGAUAAGACACACACACACAUACCCAAGGACGGAGGGCUGACUACGCACACACAAAAUCUCCUGUUUAGCUGAACAUUUGGUAACAAAGAACUUUUGCUAUAAGACUCAGAAGGAUGACGCCCAGCUCAUCAGGACCAAUCUGAGAAGACAACAACCUGUCCAGAACCAACCAAAGGACCAGAACUUCCAGACUCAACCUACUUUCUGUGUUGUAUAAAAUGUCUAUGCAUUCUGUUAUCUGGGCUUUUUCUGGAGGUUCUCUAUGAGCCGAAGGAACGAGACCGUAUACGCUUGUACCAGAUAUCUUUACUCAUAAUUAAACUGUCGCUUGUCAUACAAUUUA